CUGGAAGGAGAGGUGGCCCAAGGGAGAAUUGUGGGCUUCCACUUUUUUCGCUCCAGGAUGGGACUGCGGCCGAUCAGGCUGUUGGCGGGGUAAUGGCCCACCAAACCUGUAACCGGUACGGGCCUUGAGAGAGGUGGCCCGGAGAUGGACACUGAGACAAGGGUCCAGGUCCUACGGGGCGCAGCAGGCGCGAAACCUUCGCAAUGCGCGAAAGCGUGACGAGGUUAAUCCGAGUAGCUUCCGCUUAGGAAGUCUUUUGCCGACUCUAAAAAGGUCGGAGAAUAAGGGGAGGGCAAGUCUGGUGUCAGCCGCCGCGGUAAUACCAGCUCCUCGAGUGGUCGGGGCGAUUAUUGGGCCUAAAGCAUCCGUAGCCGGUUCCGUAGGUCUCCUGCAAAAUCCAGUCGCUCAACGAUUGGCCCGCAGGAGAUACCGCGGGACUAGGAGGCGGGAGAGGUGGACGGUACUCCACGUGUAGGGGUAAAAUCCUUUGAUCCGUGGAAGACCACCAGUGGCGAAGGCGGUCCACCAGAACGCGCUCGACGGUGAGGGAUGAAAGCUGGGGGAGCGAACCGGAUUAGAUACCCGGGUAGUCCCAGCCGUAAACGAUGCGAGCUAGAUGAUCCAGUCGCAAAUCGCGACUGGAGUGUCGCAGGGAAGCCGUUAAGCUCGCCGCCUGGGGAGUACGGUCGCAAGACUGAAACUUAAAGGAAUUGGCGGGGGAGCACCACAAGGGGUGAAGCCUGCGGUUCAAUUGGAUUCAACGCCGGA
Molecule: ribosomal RNA, 768 nt
Filed under: uncultured archaeon
Lineage: Archaea
Description: bacterial SSU rRNA
Rfam family: Archaeal small subunit ribosomal RNA
Source: RNAcentral